GACGAACGCUGGCGGCGUGCUUAACACAUGCAAGUCACGGGGGCUCGCAAGAGCAACCGGCGAACGGGUGCGUAACACGUGAGCAACCUGCCGAUCUGAGGGGGAUAGCCGGCCCAACGGCCGGGUAAUACCGCAUACGUUCUCGAGAGGGAGUCCUCUUGGGAAGAAACCUCCGGGGCAGAUCGAGGGGCUCGCGGCCUAUCAGCUAGUUGGUGAGGUAACGGCUCACCAAGGCAUCGACGGGUAGCUGGUCUGAGAGGAUGGCCAGCCACAUUGGGACUGAGAGACGGCCCAGACUCCUACGGGAGGCAGCAGUGGGGAAUCUUGCGCAAUGGCCGAAAGGCUGACGCAGCGACGCCGCGUGUGGGAUGAAGCA
This 376-nucleotide ribosomal RNA is filed under the name uncultured bacterium. Its description in RNAcentral is "bacterial SSU rRNA". It matches the Rfam family "Bacterial small subunit ribosomal RNA", at positions 28 to 415 of the family's 1533-position model. The record is from RNAcentral.